GUAUCCGUCAUACAUUAUCCGAUCAACUCCGUUUCAAGGUAUGUUCUUCCUUGUGCCUUCUAGUCCGUCUUCACCAUUGGGAUUUGAGAGAUAAGCUUAGAAAGCCUCGAACAAAAAGCUAAGUAUUCUUCUCUUACAGUGAUCGCUAGUCAGCCUUGUCCAAAUCAUGAUGCAUUUGAAUAAAAGGGAAUGUCACUACUUGAGACCUUUCAACAUCUUCUAUUGCUUUAUCAUUUUCACUCGCAUUUGGAAGUUUGUUGUGUUGUCAUCUUUAAAAUGUUCGUAUUUAAAUGGAAAGAGUUUGGUCAGAAAUAGGGAGGAGCGUUGCUGAGGACAGCGACCAAUUUGUAGUUUAGAAUUUUUCGAAUAUAAUUGUUGUUAUAGUUUUGUUUAUUGUUAGUGUUAUGAAUUUUGCAUUUAAUAAAAUCCUUGUGUGAUAGUUCUAUAUGUUUUGACUAUGAAUUCUUGACAAGAAUAUUGAGAUUCCCC
Molecule: long non-coding RNA, 489 nt
Filed under: Gossypium raimondii (Peruvian cotton)
Lineage: Eukaryota; Viridiplantae; Streptophyta; Magnoliopsida; Malvales; Malvaceae
Description: long non-coding RNA (GRAI_LNC005518)
Source: RNAcentral